UCCUGAUAGUAUCCCAAAUUCAUCGACCAAGAAGGUUGAUAAGGUUCGACUGGACUGUCAGAUACAUAUGCAUAGGGCUGUAUCUCACAUGACUGCGUUGACAUCUCCGAAUUAUCAAUAUGGUUGGUAUAUGUUGAGAAAUUCUAUAUAAGGAUCAUGGUGCUCAUCUCCUCCAGCUCCAGGUCCAGCUCCCCCUGCCCCUGCGCCUGAUCCCCACCGUUGUCUGGGCCGCAAUCCU
This 238-nucleotide long non-coding RNA is filed under the name Hordeum vulgare. RNAcentral's name for it is "long non-coding RNA (HVUL_LNC007041)". Lineage: Eukaryota; Viridiplantae; Streptophyta; Magnoliopsida; Poales; Poaceae. The record is from RNAcentral.